Molecule: ribosomal RNA, 511 nt
Filed under: uncultured bacterium
Lineage: Bacteria
Description: bacterial SSU rRNA
Rfam family: Bacterial small subunit ribosomal RNA
Source: RNAcentral
GUUGAUCUGGCUCAGGAUGAACGCUAGCGGCAGGCUAACACAUGCAAGUCGAGGGGCAACGCGAGUAGCAAUACUUGGCGGCGACCGGCGCAAGGGUGCGUAACGCGUGAGCAACAUGCCCGUAUCAGGGGGAUAAUCCAGGGAAACUUGGUCUAAUACCCCAUAGUAAUUUUGUAAGGCAUCUUAUAAGAUUUAAAGCUUUGGUGGAUACGGAUUGGCUCGCGUGACAUUAGCUGGAUGGUAAGGUAACGGCUUACCAUGGCUAUGAUGUCUAGGGGUUCUGAGAGGAAGGUCCCCCACACUGGAACUGAGACACGGUCCAGACUCCUACGGGAGGCAGCAGUGAGGAAUAUUGGACAAUGGAUGGAAAUCUGAUCCAGCCAUGCCGCGUGAAAAGGAAGAAGGUCCUAUGGAUUGUAAACUUCUUUUGUAUGGGAGCAAUAAGGCCUACGAGUAGGCUGAUGAGAGUACCAUACGAAUAAGCACCGGCUAACUCCGUGCCAGCCGCUGC